This 114-nucleotide transfer RNA is filed under the name Candidatus Woesearchaeota archaeon. Its description in RNAcentral is "tRNA-Met". It matches the Rfam family "tRNA". Rfam says of the family: Transfer RNA (tRNA) molecules are approximately 80 nucleotides in length. Their secondary structure includes four short double-helical elements and three loops (D, anti-codon, and T loops). Lineage: Archaea; Nanobdellati; Candidatus Woesearchaeota. The record is from RNAcentral.
GCCGCUGUAGCUCAGCCUGGUUAGAGCGCUACGCUCAUAACGUAGAGGUCACGGGUUCAGAUAUCCCAGAGGGAGACCACAAACCCUCUUGGUUUGAGAGUCCCGCCAGCGGCA